Molecule: ribosomal RNA, 470 nt
Filed under: uncultured bacterium
Lineage: Bacteria
Description: bacterial SSU rRNA
Rfam family: Bacterial small subunit ribosomal RNA
Source: RNAcentral
CUCAGGACGAACGCUGGCGGCGUGCCUAACACAUGCAAGUCGAACGGGUUAGUUCUUCGGAGAUAACUUAGUGGCGAACGGGUGAGUAACGCGUGAGAAACCUGCCUUUCAGUGGGGGACAACAGUUGGAAACGACUGCUAAUACCGCAUGAUGUUAUUUGGGGGCAUCCCUGAAUAACCAAAGCUUUAUGUGCUGAAAGAUGGUCUCGCGUCUGAUUAGCUAGAUGGCGGGGUAACGGGCCCACCAUGGCGACGAUCAGUAGCCGGUCUGAGAGGAUGAACGGCCACAUUGGGACUGAGAUACGGCCCAGACUCCUACGGGAGGGCAGCAGUGGGGAAUAUUGGGCAAUGGGGGAAACCCUGACCCAGCAACGCCGCGUGAAGGAAGAAGGCCUUCGGGUUGUAAACUUCUUUUACCAGGGACGAACACAAUGACGGUACCUGGAGAAAAAGCAACGGCUAACUACGUG